Molecule: ribosomal RNA, 401 nt
Filed under: Bombina orientalis
Lineage: Eukaryota; Metazoa; Chordata; Amphibia; Anura; Bombinatoridae
Description: partial 12S ribosomal RNA
Rfam family: Bacterial small subunit ribosomal RNA
Source: RNAcentral
ACCUAGAGGAGCCUGUUCUAUAAUCGAUAACCCCCGCUUAACCUCACCACUUCUUGCCAAUACCGCCUAUAUACCACCGUCGCCAGCCCACCCCGUGAGGGAAAUAGUAGGCACAAUGAUAAGUCACCAAAACGUCAGGUCAAGGUGUAGCGUAUGAAGUGGAAAGAAAUGGGCUACAUUCUCUAACCUAGAGCACACGAAAAAUCAUAUGAAAUUAGAUUAGAAGGAGGAUUUAGUAGUAAAAAGAAACAAUAGUGUUCUUUUUAAGUUGGCCCUGGGGCGCGCACACACCGCCCGUCACCCUCUUCAACUAAUAAAACACGAUUUAUAAAACACAAAACAAACACAAGAAGAGGUAAGUCGUAACAUGGUAAGUAUACCGGAAGGUGUGCUUGGAAUUA